GGAUGCGAUCAUACCAGCACUAAAGCACCGGAUCCCAUCAGAACUCCGAAGUUAAGCGUGCUUGGGCGAGAGUAGUACUAGGAUGGGUGACCUCCUGGGAAGUCCUCGUGUUGCAUUCA
RNAcentral lists this ribosomal RNA (119 nucleotides) under Triticum aestivum (bread wheat). The record is from RNAcentral. RNAcentral also lists the same sequence under 1 other name. Lineage: Eukaryota; Viridiplantae; Streptophyta; Magnoliopsida; Poales; Poaceae.